CGGAUGAGGCCGCUGAGGUUGUCGAGGCGGCCCAGGAAGACGCAGUAGAUGUGGUCCAGGCCGCAGAACAUCCGCUGGUAGGUGGCGGUGCCGGUGGCGGUGGCGGAGGAGGAGGGGCCGACGCAGGCGAGCGCGGCGCCGCCGCCGAAGGAGGCGGAGAAGGCGGCGGCCGGGUGCGCGGCGUGGAAGUCGCGCAGGAUCUCGUCGGGGUUCCGGGGCUUGCUGGGCGACGCGCCGGCGCGGGGGCUGU
This 250-nucleotide long non-coding RNA is filed under the name Zea mays. RNAcentral's name for it is "long non-coding RNA (ZMAY_LNC000634)". Lineage: Eukaryota; Viridiplantae; Streptophyta; Magnoliopsida; Poales; Poaceae. The record is from RNAcentral.